GGGGAUUUAGUUCAGUGGUAGAGCGCUUGCCUAGCAAGCACAAGGCCCUGGGUUCGGUCCCCAGCUCCA
Molecule: non-coding RNA, 69 nt
Organism: Rattus norvegicus (Norway rat)
Lineage: Eukaryota; Metazoa; Chordata; Mammalia; Rodentia; Muridae
Source: Rfam